UUCCUACGGGACGCAGCAGUCGGGAAUAUUGCGCAAUGGAGGAAACUCUGACGCAGUGACGCCGCGUAUAGGAAGAAGGUCUUCGGAUUGUAAAGCUCUUUGAUCAGGGACGAACAGAUGACGGUACCUGAAGAACAAGCCCCGGCUAACUACGUGCCAGCAGCCGCGGUAAAACGUAGGGGGCGAGCGUUGUCCGGAAUGACUGGGCGUAAAGGGUGCGUAGGCGGCAUAAUAAGUUAGAAGUGAAAUACCCAGAGCUUAACUCGGGUGCUGCUUCUAAGACUGUU
RNAcentral lists this ribosomal RNA (287 nucleotides) under uncultured bacterium. RNAcentral describes it as "partial 16S ribosomal RNA". It matches the Rfam family "Bacterial small subunit ribosomal RNA", at positions 336 to 637 of the family's 1533-position model. The record is from RNAcentral.